RNAcentral lists this ribosomal RNA (899 nucleotides) under Plagiostoma dilatatum. RNAcentral's name for it is "LSU rRNA". It matches the Rfam family "Eukaryotic large subunit ribosomal RNA", at positions 37 to 965 of the family's 3401-position model. The record is from RNAcentral. Lineage: Eukaryota; Fungi; Ascomycota; Sordariomycetes; Diaporthales; Gnomoniaceae.
AGCAUAUCAAUAAGCGGAGGAAAAGAAACCAACAGGGAUUGCCCUAGUAACGGCGAGUGAAGCGGCAACAGCUCAAAUUUGAAAUCUGGCUUCGGCCCGAGUUGUAAUUUGCAGAGGAUGUUUAUGGUGCGGUACCUUCCGAGUUCCCUGGAACGGGACGCCACAGAGGGUGAGAGCCCCGUCUGGUUGGAUACUAAACCUGUGUUAAACUCCUUCAACGAGUCGAGUAGUUUGGGAAUGCUGCUCUAAAUGGGAGGUAAAUCUCUUCUAAAGCUAAAUACUGGCCAGAGACCGAUAGCGCACAAGUAGAGUGAUCGAAAGAUGAAAAGCACCUUGAAAAGGGGGUUAAACAGUACGUGAAAUUGUUGAAAGGGAAGCGUUUAUGACCAGACUUGUGUCGUGUGGCUCAUCCGAGGUUCUCCCCGGUGCACUCCACGCGGCUCAGGCCAACAUCGGUUCUUGUUGGAGGAUAAGAACAGUAGGAACGUAGCUCUCCUUCGGGGGAGUGUUAUAGCCUAUUGUACGAUACUCUGACGGGGACCGAGGACCGCGCUUCGGCUAGGAUGUUGGCGUAAUGGUCAUUAGCGACCCGUCUUGAAACACGGACCAAGGAGUCGUCCAUUAGAGCGAGCGUUUGGGUGUAAAACCCGCACGCGUAAUGAAAGUGAAAUUAGGUGAGAGCUUCGGCGCAUCAUCGACCGAUCCUGAAGUUUACGGAUGGAUUUGAGUAAGAGUUUUAACGGACGGACCCGAAAGACAGUGAACUAUGCUUGAAUAGGGUGAAGCCAGAGGAAACUCUGGUGGAGGCUCGCAGCGGUUCUGACGUGCAAAUCGAUCGUCAAAUUUGAGCAUGGGGGCGAAAGACUAAUCGAACUGUCUAGUAGCUGGUUACCGCCGAA